GAGGAGGGGCGCGCUGUGCU
Molecule: microRNA, 20 nt
Filed under: Bos taurus (domestic cattle)
Lineage: Eukaryota; Metazoa; Chordata; Mammalia; Artiodactyla; Bovidae
Description: bta-miR-10180-3p
Source: miRBase by way of RNAcentral